Molecule: RNA transcript, 1372 nt
Organism: Phragmites australis (common reed)
Lineage: Eukaryota; Viridiplantae; Streptophyta; Magnoliopsida; Poales; Poaceae
Exons: 5
Source: RefSeq, a predicted model, not a curated record
UCUCGCCUCGCCUCCCCCACGCGCCACGCGAGUGAGCCCAACACGCAAACGGAACGCUUCCUCCUCGCCCCUCCGCCUUAUCCGAUGGCGUCCCUCACCACCACCACCUCCUCCCCGGCCGCCCUCCCGGCGGCCACCACCGCCUCCUCCGCGGCCGCCGCGUCGUCCGUUUCCCCCCACGCCGGGGCAUCCAAGCGGCCGCUCCUUGCGGGCGACGACGCGCCCUGGCGCGCCGCGGCCACCGCCGCGGGGCAGGGGAUCCGCCCCGUCCCGCGCAUCCACCACGCCCCCGUACUACGCGUCGCCGCUCAGGACGAUUCGGCCGCCUACGCCCUCGCCGUUAUGAAGCAUCCGGAUCCGAUUGGGGAGGGGCUGGCCAUGGAGGCGAUCGCGGAGGCGGCCGGGCCGGAGUGCAUCGUGCCCGGGCAGCAGGCUCCGCUGCGACUCAUGGGGCUCAAGGUUUGGCCCCUUGAUAUAGAUAUGAAGUUCCUAGAGCCUUUUGGACGGGAGUUACAUUCCAUGAAAAAGUUCAUGGACAAGUCAUGCAGCGUUAUGGACUCGUCUAUGGCAAAUAAGUAGGCGCAUGGCAGAUUAGUUCCGUCCAAUACCCGCUGUUGUUGUAUCCACCUGCUUGCUGAAGUUACAAGACCCGAAAGAUAACGAAAUAGGAAGAAGAGCCAUGGAGAGAAACCACAUUCUUUUGCAUAUCUCGAGCCACGCAUCACUUGAUGGAACGAGAUAAGGCAUCGGGAGCACAGUAACGAUUAUAUCGGAUUUAUUUGCAGCCGCAGGCCAGUUGUGAUGGUGAAUUCUCGUAAGAAUUCCUUGUGCAUGCGCUAGCUAUACAGUGGAUGAGGAGUCCUGCCGGGGAGUGCAAAGUUUGUUUGUUUGUUCCCAUGUUUCCAUGUAUUUGUCAGCUCAAUAUUGGCGCAAGUUCUGGAGACUCCUGCCGACCACACGAUCCUCCUGUCGCGCUCACGCAUGGGAUUGCCGAUUGGGACGCUGACAAGCAUGGAAUCGAUUGCUUAACGUAACCGAGCAAGGAUGGCAAUGUCCGUCACGGCUAGGCAUCAGGAUCAGACCACACAACGAGUCGAUCGUGCGUAGCAGGAUAUGUUCUCGCACGCAGCGUGGCUUUGUUGGGGGGAUAUCAGCCGUUUCGCAUCAGAUGACCAACAUCGCAACGAGAAUGAUGAAGCGCAUGGAAUCCACGGUCAUCGCUCGCCCUUUUCAGCUCUGGAGUCGAACCAUCCCCGACGAUCGGACGUAGGUGGUGUUAUCCAACGGAGCUUCCUCCUGCUAAAGGCCGUUAUUGUUGUAGAAAUUAGAACAUAGUAGAGAGUUGAUAAAAAUGAACUUACGUAUUUAUUGA